GCAGCACGGGGGCAACCCUGGUGGCGAGUGGCGAACGGGUGAGUAAUACAUCGGAACGUGUCCAGUCGUGGGGGAUAACCAGUCGAAAGACUGGCUAAUACCGCAUGCGCCCGAAAGGGGAAAGCGGGGGACCGCAAGGCCUCGCGCGAUUGGAGCGGCCGAUGUCCGAUUAGCUAGUUGGUGAGGUAACGGCUCACCAAGGCUACGAUCGGUAGCUGGUCUGAGAGGACGACCAGCCACACUGGGACUGAGACACGGCCCAGACUCCUACGGGAGGCAGCAGUGGGGAAUUUUGGACAAUGGGGGCAACCCUGAUCCAGCCAUGCCGCGUGUGUGAUGAAGGCCUUCGGGUUGUAAAGCACUUUCGGACGGAACGAAAUUGCACGGGCGAAUAUCCCGUGUGGAUGACGGUACCGUAAGAAGAAGCACCGGCUAACUACGUGCCAGCAGCCGCGGUAAUACGUAGGGUGCGAGCGUUAAUCGGAAUUACUGGGCGUAAAGGGUGCGCAGGCGGCCCCGCAAGUCAGGCGUGAAAUCCCCGAGCUUAACUUGGGAAUUGCGCUUGAAACUAC
RNAcentral lists this ribosomal RNA (572 nucleotides) under uncultured beta proteobacterium. RNAcentral's name for it is "bacterial SSU rRNA". It matches the Rfam family "Bacterial small subunit ribosomal RNA", at positions 69 to 636 of the family's 1533-position model. The record is from RNAcentral. Lineage: Bacteria; Pseudomonadati; Pseudomonadota; Betaproteobacteria.